Molecule: long non-coding RNA, 1220 nt
Filed under: Bos indicus x Bos taurus (hybrid cattle)
Lineage: Eukaryota; Metazoa; Chordata; Mammalia; Artiodactyla; Bovidae
Description: lncRNA (ENSBIXG00005028244.1)
Source: RNAcentral
UAGAACACAGGGAAUCUGGCUCCACACUGUGCUCUUAUUUGUCACACUAUGAUGGGCUAUUUCAACAAGUCCCCUAGUUAGAGGACCCAUCUGUUUGCAUCUCACUCUGGUGUGGAAGUGGAGCCACAAACUGGAUCAGGAAGCCUCAUCUCCACUACCAACAUGGGGACCUGGAGUUACGCACAUCACUCACAGGACAAUUCCAUGACCAGAGUUACCACUGAAGAGAGCCAAGACAAUGAGUGGAAUCAGACCAUGCGUGGGGCCAAGAUAAACUGGGCUAACACUCCAACUGUUCAGAAUGGCUUGGUGCCUGGACACCACCCCUGUGAACACCCAGCUCCCUAGGCCCUGCCCUGCCUUUCUGGUAGGCGAGAUUUCCCCACAUGCUACCACCCCACCAAACCACAUCUAGCAAGGCAGAAGCUUGAGUAUGUUAUGAUAUUACAGCAUUCUUAUAAUAUUUCCCUGUGUCUUCUUGAGUUUAUUUUCUUUUCAAGAAACUUUAUUUGAACAUGGUUCAAAAAUCAGAACUAUACAAAGGUGCACUGAGUAGUGUCACUUUUUUCUGUCCCCAUCCACCACUUUCUCCCCCCUCACUAUAAGCCAUCACUGAAUUUCUGCUUGCCUUUUAUUCUGUUUAGCUUUAUAUUUUUAUGCAUAUACGAGUAAAUAUUCUCAUACUUCUAUUUUUGAUACGAAAGAUCGAGCUUAUUCUGCUACAUUUUGCUGUGUUUUUUUUUUUUUUUUUUUCAUUUAAAAAUAUACUGUAGAGGACCUCCUUGGUUGUCCAGUCAUUAAGAAUCCACAUGCCAGUGAAGGGGACACAGGUUGGAUCCUUGGUCAGAGAAGAUCCUACAUGCCAUAGGGCAACUAAUUCCUCAAGCCAAAAAGACUGAAGCCUGCACACCUAGAACCUAUGCUCUGCAACAAGAGGAGCCACCACAGUGAGAAUUCCAUGCAUGGCAACUAGAGAAAGUACAUGUGUAGCAAUGAAGACCCAGCACAGCCAAAAAUUAACUAAUUAAUUAAAUUAUAUAUAUAGGUAUAUAUACCAAAAUAUUUAUAUUUAAUACCUAUAUGUAUUACUCAAUGAAACUCAGCCAUGCCCCUGGGGCCACCCAAGAUGGGCGGGUCAUGGUGGAGAGGUCUGACAGAAUGUGGUCCACUGGAGAAGGAAAUGGCAAACCACUUCAGUAUUCUUGCCUUGAGAACCCCAU